AUACGUAGGUGGCAAGCGUUAUCCGGAUUUACUGGGUGUAAAGGGCGUGUAGGCGGGACUGCAAGUCAGAUGUGAAAACUAUGGGCUCAACCCAUAGCCUGCAUUUGAAACUGUAGUUCUUGAGUGCUGGAGAGGCAAUCGGAAUUCAGUGUGUAGCGGUGAAAUGCGUAGAUAUACGGAGGAAAACCAGUGGCGAAGGCGGAUUGCUGGACAGUAACUGACGCUGAGGCGCGAAAGCGUGGGGAGCAAACAGGAUUAGAUACCCUGGUAGUCCACGCCGUAAACGAUGGAUACUAGGUGUGGGGGGUCUGACCCCCUCCGUGCCGCAGCUAACGCAAUAAGUAUCCCACCUGGGGAGUACGAUCGCAAGGUUGAAACUCAAAGGAAUUGGCGGGG
This 396-nucleotide ribosomal RNA is filed under the name uncultured bacterium. Its description in RNAcentral is "partial 16S ribosomal RNA". It matches the Rfam family "Bacterial small subunit ribosomal RNA", at positions 523 to 918 of the family's 1533-position model. The record is from RNAcentral.